AGUGAACGCUGGCGGUAGGCCUAACACAUGCAAGUCGAACGGCAGCACAGUAAGAGCUUGCUCUUACGGGUGGCGAGUGGCGGACGGGUGAGGAAUACAUCGGAAUCUACUUUUUCGUGGGGGAUAACGUAGGGAAACUUACGCUAAUACCGCAUACGACCUACGGGUGAAAGCAGGGGAUCUUCGGACCUUGCGCGAUUGAAUGAGCCGAUGUCGGAUUAGCUAGUUGGCGGGGUAAAGGCCCACCAAGGCGACGAUCCGUAGCUGGUCUGAGAGGAUGAUCAGCCACACUGGAACUGAGACACGAUCCAGACUCCUACGGGAGGCAGCAGUGGGGAAUAUUGGACAAUGGGCGCAAGCCUGAUCCAGCCAUACCGCGUGGGUGAAGAAGGCCUUCGGGUUGUAAAGCCCUUUUGUUGGGAAAGAAAAGCAGCAGGUUAAUACCCCGCUGUUCUGACGGUACCCAAAGAGUAAGCACCGGCUAACUUCGUG
Molecule: ribosomal RNA, 492 nt
Filed under: uncultured bacterium
Lineage: Bacteria
Description: partial 16S ribosomal RNA
Rfam family: Bacterial small subunit ribosomal RNA
Source: RNAcentral